UACAGAGGGGGCAAGCGUUAUUCGGAAUUAUUGGGCGUAAAGGGCGCGUAGGCGGCUUGGCAAGUGGAUGGUGAAAUCCCUCGGCUUAACCGAGGAACUGCCGUCCAAACUGCUUCGCUUGAGACCGGGAGAGGUGAGUGGAAUUCCCAGUGUAGCGGUGAAAUGCGCAGAUAUCAGGAAGAACACCCGUGGCUAAGGCGGCUCUCUAGUACGUGACUGACGCUGAGACGCGAAAGCGUGGGGAGCGAACAGG
Molecule: ribosomal RNA, 253 nt
Filed under: uncultured bacterium
Lineage: Bacteria
Description: partial 16S ribosomal RNA
Rfam family: Bacterial small subunit ribosomal RNA
Source: RNAcentral